RNAcentral lists this ribosomal RNA (504 nucleotides) under Escherichia coli. Its description in RNAcentral is "partial 23S ribosomal RNA". It matches the Rfam family "Bacterial large subunit ribosomal RNA", at positions 371 to 880 of the family's 2925-position model. Lineage: Bacteria; Pseudomonadati; Pseudomonadota; Gammaproteobacteria; Enterobacterales; Enterobacteriaceae. The record is from RNAcentral.
CCCCGUACACAAAAAUGCACAUGCUGUGAGCUCGAUGAGUAGGGCGGGACACGUGGUAUCCUGUCUGAAUAUGGGGGGACCAUCCUCCAAGGCUAAAUACUCCUGACUGACCGAUAGUGAACCAGUACCGUGAGGGAAAGGCGAAAAGAACCCCGGCGAGGGGAGUGAAAAAGAACCUGAAACCGUGUACGUACAAGCAGUGGGAGCACGCUUAGGCGUGUGACUGCGUACCUUUUGUAUAAUGGGUCAGCGACUUAUAUUCUGUAGCAAGGUUAACCGAAUAGGGGAGCCGAAGGGAAACCGAGUCUUAACUGGGCGUUAAGUUGCAGGGUAUAGACCCGAAACCCGGUGAUCUAGCCAUGGGCAGGUUGAAGGUUGGGUAACACUAACUGGAGGACCGAACCGACUAAUGUUGAAAAAUUAGCGGAUGACUUGUGGCUGGGGGUGAAAGGCCAAUCAAACCGGGAGAUAGCUGGUUCUCCCCGAAAGCUAUUUAGGUAGCGC